GUGCCAGCAGCCGCGGUAAUACGUAGGGUGCGAGCGUUAAUCGGAAUUACUGGGCGUAAAGCGUGCGCAGGCGGUUUGGUAAGACAGAUGUGAAAUCCCCGGGCUUAACCUGGGAACUGCAUUUGUGACUGCCAAGCUAGAGUAUAGCAGAGGGGGGUAGAAUUCCACGUGUAGCAGUGAAAUGCGUAGAUAUGUGGAGGAAUACCGAUGGCGAAGGCAGCCCCCUGGGUUAAUACUGACGCUCAUGCACGAAAGCGUGGGGAGCAAACAGGAUUAGAUACCCCCGUAGUCC
This 292-nucleotide ribosomal RNA is filed under the name uncultured bacterium. RNAcentral describes it as "partial 16S ribosomal RNA". It matches the Rfam family "Bacterial small subunit ribosomal RNA", at positions 505 to 796 of the family's 1533-position model. The record is from RNAcentral.